UACGAAGGGUGCAAGCGUUACUCGGAAUUACUGGGCGUAAAGCGUGCGCAGGCGGUUUUGUAAGCCAGAUGUGAAAUCCCCGGGCUUAACCUGGGAAUGGCAUUUGGGACUGCAAGGCUGGAGUGUGGCAGAGGAGACUGGAAUUCCCGGUGUAGCAGUGAAAUGCGUAGAUAUCGGGAGGAAUACCGAUGGCGAAGGCAGGUCUCUGGGCUGACACUGACGCUCAUGCACGAAAGCGUGGGGAGCAAACAGG
This 253-nucleotide ribosomal RNA is filed under the name uncultured bacterium. RNAcentral's name for it is "partial 16S ribosomal RNA". It matches the Rfam family "Bacterial small subunit ribosomal RNA", at positions 524 to 776 of the family's 1533-position model. The record is from RNAcentral.